Molecule: long non-coding RNA, 533 nt
Organism: Episyrphus balteatus (marmalade hoverfly)
Lineage: Eukaryota; Metazoa; Arthropoda; Insecta; Diptera; Syrphidae
Exons: 2
Source: RefSeq, a predicted model, not a curated record
UCACAUGUUUUUGUGUUUUUAUUCAUUUUUUUUCCUUUUGCUCUUUUGUCCUGUAAAGCAUAUUGAGUUAUCCGUACCUUUGUGCUUACUAUUUUUUUUUUUUUUUCUGGAGAUGAAAAAUAUUUUGUUUUUCUUAAGUAAAACAAAAAUAAUUCAAGAUUUAUUGCUACUCUUAACUACUUUGGUUGGUACUUGGAAGAAAAACGUGACAUGUAGGCAGUUAACCAUCAAGGAGGAAUAUUUGCUAUGCAUAUGCCACGUUUCUAUCGGAUUUCUUAUUUUGGAAUUAAAGUCACAUUCUUAAAGAAAAGUCGUUAUUCAAUUAGCAAAUUAAAAACUUCAAGAUAAAAAAUAUCAUAAUUCAAGAAUAUUUCGGACAUUGAUGCGAUCAAAACGAAAAAGAGUUUUAUUGCCUCAAGGCAAACAAAAAUCAGUUAAAUCAAACCUUGAGAUUAUUUUUUUUUAAAUAAUUACUUUCAGUAGUCUUUCUACUUAAAUAAACUGGGCUUUCUUAGUCUAACUUCUCAGUCAAA